This 505-nucleotide long non-coding RNA is filed under the name Actinidia chinensis (golden kiwifruit). Its description in RNAcentral is "long non-coding RNA (ACHI_LNC002766)". Lineage: Eukaryota; Viridiplantae; Streptophyta; Magnoliopsida; Ericales; Actinidiaceae. The record is from RNAcentral.
AAAUUCUCUUUUAUAAGUAGAUUGGAGACUAUAAAUCACUGUAUUACAACCUUCAGAGAUUGACAGCUACAAUUUUCUCGCAAGAGAAGCAAAACAGACAACUUUUUGUCGGAACAACGUAGGUAUGAUUCUAUUAUUUAAUCUCUGUGGUAUUUCAGUGAGAUUCAUGGUUUAAAUAAACUCUGCAUGGCUGCACGAGCUUUAUCUAGUUAAACACAUAAAAAUGUCUCAGUUAUCUCUUGGGAAUUUGAAGGAAUUUUCAGAUACUAGGCCAGUUAUUUAAGGUUCUAUGAGUAUGUUUUGUUUUCCAGUUGGAAAUCUUGCAAUAAUCAAAAGUGUUCUGAAAUCUGAAUCAUUUAGCCCAGCAUUACCUUCUAUUGAGAUUAUAGCUGAAUGUUACAUACCGUAGGGCCCAUUUGAUUGGCCAUAUUCAAAAUGGGACUACGUAGUUCUGGACCUGUAUUUCCGGUGUUGAAUGCAAAAAUUGAUCGAGGGAUGACGUAUU